ACCAUCAUCAUCGUCACCAUCGUCAUCCCAUGAUGCUCUGCGGUUGUCCCUCAAUACGUCCCCCCCACCCCCGCUAGCGAACGUUGCCUACCCGCAAUUGAAGGCGCUGGAGGCACUUCCGCGACGCGCCACUCACACGUGCGCGCGGGGCGCCGCUGUGAGAACAAGCCCGCGUCAAUAAGACAUCGAGUGAGGCUGUGGCUAUCUGCAGGUGCUUCCUCUGCCUCCUGUUCCCAAGGCUGUCCUGGCUCCUGCUGUGCGGCCGCAAUCAGCACAAGGACAGCGAGGUACAGGCAGCGGGCAAGGCACACAGCGAAAAUAUUGCGUGUGAAGGCCACUGCGAUUCAUGCCAAGCAACUUGCGCUGCCACUCUUGCUUCUGACGUUCUCAUUUUGCGUCUUCCCCUGUCCGCGGCCAACAUAUCUCAUCCCACCCACACUGCCACCAUUCCAUCACCCUUUGAAAGUUAAGAAAAAAAGGUGACCUAACCAACCCAUUAAGCAGAGCCUUAUAUAUUACCUUGAGGUAUCAUGCAAAUGUAACCGGGUGGGAAAUUCAGGGCUGUAGCAAAGUGAAGGGCCAGCCACACACACGCACGCACACGAACACAUACUCUUGGAGGAUACGUAGGGAAAUGAAGAGUGAGCUCAGAGCAGUAUUUUACAUAAACUGCUCUGUUCAUGUAUUGUUAAUGGAGUAGGCUGCUAGGCAAAUAUGGCCAUUAUACGAUAUAAAUCGGAUGUUUUUCAUUGCGCGAAAUCAAUAAGUAAUUAAAAGCAGGUCAAGCUUUUUCGGAGACGUCCAGCAAUGGAUGUUCAUAAAGCAGUCCUGUUUGCAACACAUUCAUCAUUUUUGAAUUUUAUUCUUUACAGUAAUCACCACGUCAACAACACAAUGAUUUUACUUCGACAUUUUGUAUUUUAGCUACGAGCUAAACAAGUUAAAGAAGAAAAAAACCUGCUUGUGUUACAUUUGGAAGGAAUUUCUCAAAUCCCUGUCCUGCAAAGAAAAGUAAUUUGACCAUACGGUAACCAGUUGUUUAAUAUAUUUAUUUUUGCAUUGUCUUAUUAUGUCAGCUAAACUUUCUGAUGCUACAUUAACAAUUUAUAACCAUAAUUAUUAAGAUGGUAUAAUAUUGCCUGCAUAUUACUUGGCAGCAAAAGAGGAUGUUGUUUUCCAUUCCAAAACUAACACACAAACAUGUGUUUUUUAUUAUCCAUACUAGUUUGUGGUUUUUCGAGGAUCCCGUUACUGUUAAAAUUAAUAAUGCUCUCAAGUUGAUUUCAACUGGCAAAGUAAACUUUGGAACAUUGUGCUGCAAUAUUCACCAAACCAUCACAAGACACAACAAAUAUAUAUUUUUAAACGAAACUAGCUUUAAGAAAAGACUUGCAAAGCACAAUCCCAUAAUAGCACGGCAUGCCAAUAGCCCUUACUAUUCCCUUGGUCUCGGAUAGAAAGUAAACAACUUUUGGAUGCUAUGAACAUAAUAAAUUCCUAGUUCUUAUAUUUCCGAGGCUCAUUGACAGGAAUGUGAUUAUAAAUGUUGCAUUCUCAAUUGCUCCAUCUCUCGAUCAUGUACGCGGCGGUCUCGGCAGAGUGUAUUACUGAAGAACAGCACAGGUCCAAUUAGCAUUUGUUCAAUUUGUUAUGUACAAUUUAAAUAAAAUGCCGGCUUCACCACUGUCACUCCACCACAACGAAAUAAUUAAAAUAACACAUUCGCCAUUAAAAAAA
Non-coding RNA from Petromyzon marinus (sea lamprey), 1737 nucleotides. The record is from RefSeq and is a predicted model, not a curated record. NCBI's taxonomy places the organism in Eukaryota, Metazoa, Chordata, Hyperoartia, Petromyzontiformes, Petromyzontidae.